RNAcentral lists this ribosomal RNA (800 nucleotides) under uncultured bacterium. Its description in RNAcentral is "bacterial SSU rRNA". It matches the Rfam family "Bacterial small subunit ribosomal RNA", at positions 8 to 797 of the family's 1533-position model. The record is from RNAcentral.
AGAGUUUGAUCAUGGCUCAGAUUGAACGCUGGCGGCAGGCCUAACACAUGCAAGUCGAACGGUAACAGGAAGCAGCUUGCUGCUUUGCUGACGAGUGGCGGACGGGUGAGUAAUGUCUGGGAAACUGCCUGAUGGAGGGGGAUAACUACUGGAAACGGUAGCUAAUACCGCAUAACGUCGCAAGACCAAAGAGGGGGACCUUCGGGCCUCUUGCCAUCGGAUGUGCCCAGAUGGGAUUAGCUAGUAGGUGGGGUAAAGGCUCACCUAGGCGACGAUCCCUAGCUGGUCUGAGAGGAUGACCAGCCACACUGGAACUGAGACACGGUCCAGACUCCUACGGGAGGCAGCAGUGGGGAAUAUUGCACAAUGGGCGCAAGCCUGAUGCAGCCAUGCCGCGUGUAUGAAGAAGGCCUUCGGGUUGUAAAGUACUUUCAGCGGGGAGGAAGGGAGUAAAGUUAAUACCUUUGCUCAUUGACGUUACCCGCAGAAGAAGCACCGGCUAACUCCGUGCCAGCAGCCGCGGUAAUACGGAGGGUGCAAGCGUUAAUCGGAAUUACUGGGCGUAAAGCGCACGCAGGCGGUUCGUUAAGUCAGAUGUGAAAUCCCCGGGCUCAACCUGGGAACUGCAUCUGAUACUGGCAAGCUUGAGUCUCGUAGAGGGGGGUAGAAUUCCAGGUGUAGCGGUGAAAUGCGUAGAGAUCUGGAGGAAUACCGGUGGCGAAGGCGGCCCCCUGGACGAAGACUGACGCUCAGGUGCGAAAGCGUGGGGAGCAAACAGGGUUAGAUACCCUGGUAGUCCA